GGAGAGGUGUCCGAGUGGCUGAAGGAGCACGCUUGGAAAGCGUGUGUGGGGGAAACCUCACCGUGGGUUCGAAUCCCACCCUCUCCGCCA
This 90-nucleotide transfer RNA is filed under the name Acidobacteria bacterium 13_1_20CM_2_68_7. RNAcentral describes it as "tRNA-Ser". It matches the Rfam family "tRNA". Rfam says of the family: Transfer RNA (tRNA) molecules are approximately 80 nucleotides in length. The record is from RNAcentral. RNAcentral also lists the same sequence under 10 other names. Lineage: Bacteria; Pseudomonadati; Acidobacteriota.